GGGGAAUUUUGGACAAUGGGCGAAAGCCUGAUCCAGCAAUGCCGCGUGUGUGAAGAAGGCCUUCGGGUUGUAAAGCACUUUUGUCCGGAAAGAAAUCCUUGGCUCUAAUACAGUCGGGGGAUGACGGUACCGGAAGAAUAAGCACCGGCUAACUACGUGCCGGCAGCCGCGGUAAUACGUAGGGUGCAAGCGUUAAUCGGAAUUACUGGGCGUAAAGCGUGCGCAGGCGGUUUGCUAAGACCGAUGUGAAAUCCCCGGGCUCAACCUGGGAACUGCAUUGGUGACUGGCAGGCUAGAGUAUGGCAGAGGGGGGUAGAAUUCCACGUGUAGCAGUGAAAUGCGUAGAGAUGUGGAGGAAUACCGAUGGCGAAGGCAGCCCCCUGGGCCAAUACUGACGCUCAUGCACGAAAGCGUGGGGAGCAAACAGGAUUAGAUACCCUGGUAGUCCACGCCCUAAACGAUGUCAACUAGUUGUUGGGGAUUCAUUUCCUUAGUAACGUAGCUAACGCGUGAAGUUGACCGCCUGGGGAGUACGGUCGCAAGAUUAAAACUCAAAUGGAAUUGACGGGGUCAUAGCUGUUUCCU
Molecule: ribosomal RNA, 585 nt
Filed under: uncultured bacterium
Lineage: Bacteria
Description: partial 16S ribosomal RNA
Rfam family: Bacterial small subunit ribosomal RNA
Source: RNAcentral